Molecule: ribosomal RNA, 253 nt
Filed under: uncultured bacterium
Lineage: Bacteria
Description: partial 16S ribosomal RNA
Rfam family: Bacterial small subunit ribosomal RNA
Source: RNAcentral
UACAGAGGCCUCGAGCGUUAGGCGGAAUCACUGGGCUUAAAGCGUGUGUAGGCGGACUUCUAAGUACCUUGUGAAAUCCCACGGCUCACCCGUGGAACUGCUUGGUAUACUGGUUGUCUUGAGCCUUCUAGGGGCGAGUGGAACAAAUGGUGGAGCGGUGAAAUGCGUAGAUAUCAUUUGGAACGCCAAUGGUGAAAACAACUCGCUGGGGAAGUGCUGACGCUGAGACACGAAAGCCAGGGGAGCGAACGGG